UAUAAUAACAUUGUUAUUAUAUUAAACCAAAUCAAAAUGUUGUGAGGUGGUUACUAAUGGAUUAGUAACAAGUCAAAAUGUGAUGAAGUGGUUAUUAAUGGGAUUUGAUUUGAAGUGUGUUAGAUUUAUGGAUUAGUUUCAUUUGUGUGUUUGCUAAAAUUAGUGGAUUAGUAACAUAUUAGUCACUAAAAAUAGAGUGCUUUGUUUUCCAUUUCAAAUGUAAAGAAGAAUGAGUGUAUGUAAGAGUGUGUGUAUUAAGAAAUUUAAGCAUUAAGCUUUCUCC
Long non-coding RNA from Ipomoea nil (Japanese morning glory), 283 nucleotides. RefSeq lists it as uncharacterized. The record is from RefSeq and is a predicted model, not a curated record. The transcript is spliced from 2 exons. Lineage: Eukaryota; Viridiplantae; Streptophyta; Magnoliopsida; Solanales; Convolvulaceae.